This 1344-nucleotide long non-coding RNA is filed under the name Ananas comosus (pineapple). RNAcentral's name for it is "long non-coding RNA (ACOM_LNC009397)". The record is from RNAcentral. Lineage: Eukaryota; Viridiplantae; Streptophyta; Magnoliopsida; Poales; Bromeliaceae.
AGUUAACAAAUUAGGCUAAUAAAUUAAUAUAUUAGUAAAUUAAUUAAUUAAUUAAUUAUUUAAUUAGUUAUAUUGGUCAAAAUAUUAAUUUAUUAAUCAAUAAAGAUAUUAGUUAUUGUAUAAACACACUAAUAAAUAAUUAUUAAUUUAUCUAAUAUUUUAUUAUUAAAUUAGUUAAUUAUUAAUUUAGCUAAUUUGUAAAUAAAAUGAUAUAUAAUAUAUUAAUUACUAAAAUUUUAUUAUUAAAUUAGUAGAGGUAUAAAGAGAAGAAAUUAUUAUUCCACCAAAAGGGUGGAACAACAAUUCCCCCUCUUUUAACGGGUUAUUCUAGAAUAACCCGUUAAGAGAGGGAUUAAAUAAACCCAUUCUCUCUUCUAGUGUUUGGAUGAAUUAGAGGGAUAAAGUGGUCUAUUCCCACUUUAUCCCUCAACCAAAGACAAUAAGGUAUCGUUUGGUUCGAGGAUAAGCAAAAAGUGGCUAUUCCAGAAAUAGGUAUAAAUUGAGGUAUAAGCGGGGAUUAGAUUAAUUUUGCAUUUGGAUGAAAAUUGGGUUAUUCCUGGGAAUAAAAAAAAUAGCGUUUGGUUAGGUAAGAUGGAAUAAGAAAGAUAGUGGGUUUUACAAAUAAAAAAUAAUCAUAUUAUCCUCUAUUAUAUUUGAAUUUAAAUUUUUAAAUUUAAAAUUUUAACUUUGAAAUUUCAAAAUUUGAAAUUUAAAAUCUCAAAUUUUAAAUUCAAAAUUUUAAAUUUUAAAUUUCAAACUUUAAAUUUAAUAUCAAAUUUGAAUUUGAAAAAUAUAAAAUAUCAAAAUUUAAAUUUCAAAUUUAAAAUAUUAAAAUUUAAAUUUAAAAUUUAAAAUUUAAAACUUUAAUUUUGAGAUUAUAAAUUAUAAAUUUUAAAAAAUUUAAAUUUUAAAUUUUUAAAAUAAGAAUAGGGAUGGGAACAAUUAAUAAAAAUAAUUUAUUAUAAUAAAUUUAUAAAUUUUUUUAAAAUUCUACGUAAACUUAAAUUUAAUAAAAAGAAUUUAUUAUAAUAUUUAAAUAUAAAUAAUACGUAUUAAUAUAGUACAAUUAAUAAUUUUAUAAUAAAAAUUAUGUAUUAUAAUAUAUAACAUAUUAUAUUUAUAUAAUUUAGUUUUAAUUCAAUUUAUAAUUUUAAUUAAGUUUGAAAUUAAGUAUUGGAAUAGUACUAUUUCACCAAAAUGAUGGAAUAGUAAAUUCCUUGCUAUUCCGGGAUAACCGUGAAUAGCAACAUUUGAUCGGGAUAAAAUAUCCCGGUAAAAUAUCAUCCCGUUUGGCGGAAUAACGGGGAUAACUUUCGUUAUCCCCGCUUAUUUUCCGAAUCAAAU